This 22-nucleotide non-coding RNA is filed under the name Arabidopsis thaliana (thale cress). The record is from RNAcentral. Lineage: Eukaryota; Viridiplantae; Streptophyta; Magnoliopsida; Brassicales; Brassicaceae.
GAUUCGGCUUGAGGGGGGUGUA